This 62-nucleotide transfer RNA is filed under the name Eupelmus anpingensis. RNAcentral describes it as "tRNA-Cys". Lineage: Eukaryota; Metazoa; Arthropoda; Insecta; Hymenoptera; Eupelmidae. The record is from RNAcentral.
UGUUUAAUUUUUAUUAAAUUGCAAAUUUAAUUAAUCUAAAUUUCAUAAAUUUAGUUAAACAU